Molecule: long non-coding RNA, 347 nt
Organism: Ictalurus punctatus (channel catfish)
Lineage: Eukaryota; Metazoa; Chordata; Actinopteri; Siluriformes; Ictaluridae
Source: Ensembl
AGAAGAGGAGACAAAUGCAGAAUUGUCACUUUUCAACGUCAACUGGAGAAAGGCAGCAAGUGGUGAUGAUUGACGCCUGGGCUAAAAUGCAUCCCAGAAUCCAUUUCUCCACAAUGCACCCUGGCUACGAGUGCAACUCACCUCUAAUGCAAGAAAAUCGUAUCCGCCUCUAACUCCGUUGUCAAGUAUUGGAGCUAAUAUACAACACAUACGAACAGCUCAAACGAUCAGAUUCAUCCACGCAGAGAAUACAAAAAAAAAUAAAAAAUUCUGUAAGUAAAUUGCAAUUUUAUGUUUCAAACAGAGAUGGUGACAGAGAGGCAAAAGUUUCAUACUGCAGCUUUGAG